UACAGAGGGGGCGAGCGUUGUUCGGAAUUACUGGGCGUAAAGGGCGCGUAGGCGGCCUGCUAAGUCGAACGUGAAAUCCCCGAGCUCAACUCGGGAACUGCGUCCGAUACUGACAGGCUUGAAUCCGGGAGAGGGAUGCGGAAUUCCAGGUGUAGCGGUGAAAUGCGUAGAUAUCUGGAGGAACACCGGUGGCGAAGGCGGCAUCCUGGACCGGCAUUGACGCUGAGGCGCGAAAGCUAGGGGAGCAAACGGG
RNAcentral lists this ribosomal RNA (253 nucleotides) under uncultured bacterium. RNAcentral's name for it is "partial 16S ribosomal RNA". It matches the Rfam family "Bacterial small subunit ribosomal RNA", at positions 524 to 776 of the family's 1533-position model. The record is from RNAcentral.